RNAcentral lists this long non-coding RNA (914 nucleotides) under Physcomitrium patens. Its description in RNAcentral is "long non-coding RNA (PPAT_LNC006419)". The record is from RNAcentral. Lineage: Eukaryota; Viridiplantae; Streptophyta; Bryopsida; Funariales; Funariaceae.
UAUGUAAGACGUGAUGAUCUCUUGAAUUCAGAACCAAUGAUUUUUAGAACGUGAUCGUCUGUUGGACCUGAUUUGAUCGAAUCAUGGUUUUUUGUUUUGUUUUGUUUUUCUCUUUUUUUUUCUUUUUUUUUUUUGGUUGCAGCGCUAGCGUUUGGGCAUCCAUAUUAUGGGACGUAUGCGCACGCUCUGAACGGGGCGAAUUACGUGCGCGGCGCCAACUUUGCGUAUGCUGGCGCGACUGCGAACGCCACCACGUUCGUGACGCCGAUCCACCUCAACCUGCAGGUUGAUAAUUUCCUCAAUUUUAAGAGCAAGGCGCUCGACACAGGGUUCUAUUUCCCAGACCGUAAGCAUUGGACAACCAUCUCCAUUCACAAGGACUAAUAUUCAUCGCUGGCAGGUUUAUGCUUGAAUUUGAAGUUGAAAAUGGGUUUGAAAUACUCUACAUUUUCAUGUUUAGAGACUCCCAAUGUUUACAAGAAACUGUCAAAAUAAUGAAUAACUAUCAUGGAAUCAAUGGAGUAAUGUUUUUGAAGCAUUUAUUCAUGGAAGGCUCUUUCCCAAAAAUUGGCGAUUUUCUUACAGCCAAAUGAGCUCUCUUUGACAGAUUUGUGAUGUUCUCUAUACUCAUGUGAUAAAUCUAUGCUGCAUCUACAGAAUGGAGCCUACUGUUAGAAUACAGAAAGGGUGUCGAGGAACUUGAAUUGCACUUAGAAAAUGCCUCUGGUACCGAAAAAUCUAGACUGAUUUGGAUGGGAUUUAUAUGUGCAGCGAAAGGUCCGUAUCAACCAGUGUGGAAUGCGUUCAGCGACGGCGCGUACUACAUUCCUGAAAUCGGAGGCAUCGACCUGAUCGUUGCCACAAGUGUGCUGAACCUGCCGUCGCCGGUCGUCAUCGCCUCGUUCGUUCCAGCC